Molecule: ribosomal RNA, 133 nt
Filed under: uncultured bacterium
Lineage: Bacteria
Description: partial 16S ribosomal RNA
Rfam family: Bacterial small subunit ribosomal RNA
Source: RNAcentral
GAGGAAUAUUGCGCAAUGGGGGAAACCCUGACGCAGCGACGCCGCGUGAGUGAGGAAGGUUUUCGGAUCGUAAAGCUCUGUCAGAAGGGAAGAAGUGUAAUACAGUUAAUACCUGUAUUAUUUGACGGUACCU